RNAcentral lists this ribosomal RNA (425 nucleotides) under uncultured bacterium. Its description in RNAcentral is "partial 16S ribosomal RNA". It matches the Rfam family "Bacterial small subunit ribosomal RNA", at positions 354 to 796 of the family's 1533-position model. The record is from RNAcentral.
GUGGGGAAUCUUGCGCAAUGGGCGAAAGCCUGACGCAGCCAUGCCGCGUGAAUGAUGAAGGUCUUAGGAUUGUAAAAUUCUUUCACCGGGGACGAUAAUGACGGUACCCGGAGAAGAAGCUCCGGCUAACUUCGUGCCAGCAGCCGCGGUAAUACGAAGGGGGCUAGCGUUGCUCGGAAUUACUGGGCGUAAAGGGCGCGUAGGCGGACAGCUUAGUCAGAGGUGAAAGCCCAGGGCUCAACCUUGGAAUUGCCUUUGAUACUGGCUGUCUUGAGUUUGGGAGAGGUGAGUGGAACGCCGAGUGUAGAGGUGAAAUUCGUAGAUAUUCGGAAGAACACCAGUGGCGAAGGCGACUCACUGGCCCAAUACUGACGCUGAGGCGCGAAAGCGUGGGGAGCAAACAGGAUUAGAUACCCGUGUAGUCC